This is a non-coding RNA of Vicia faba (fava bean), 225 nucleotides long. The record is from the annotation of a GenBank genome assembly. Lineage: Eukaryota; Viridiplantae; Streptophyta; Magnoliopsida; Fabales; Fabaceae.
AUGACUAAGAGAACCAAGAAGGCCGGUAUUGUUGGCAAAUACGGCACCCGAUAUGGUGCUAGUUUGAGGAAGCAAAUUAAGAAGAUGGAAGUCAGUCAGCACAGUAAAUUCUUCUGCGAGUUUUGUGGAAAGUAUGUUGCUGGUGGUGUUUACACUUUGAAUACUGCCAGUGAUGUGACUGUUCGGAGUACCAUCCGAAGGUUGAGGGAGCAUACUGAGAGUUAG